This 905-nucleotide ribosomal RNA is filed under the name Tridacna maxima. RNAcentral's name for it is "bacterial SSU rRNA". The record is from RNAcentral. Lineage: Eukaryota; Metazoa; Mollusca; Bivalvia; Cardiida; Cardiidae.
UACGGUUGCAAAGCUGAAACUUAAAGGAAUUGACGGAAGGGCACCACCAGGAGUGGAGCCUGUGGCUUAAUUUGACUCAACACGGGAAACCUCACCCGGUCCGGACACUGGAAGGAUUGACAGACUAAAGCUCUUUCUUGAUUCAGUGGGUGGUGGUGCAUGGCCGUUCUUAGUUGGUGGAGUGAUUUGUCUGGUUAAUUCCGAUAACGAACGAGACUCUCGCCUGCUAAAUAGUUUUCCAUACGUUACUUUAUGGAACCUAAAACUUCUUAGAGGUACAAGUGGCGUUUAGCCACACGAAACAGAGCAAUAACAGGUCUGUGAUGCCCUUAGAUGUCCGGGGCCGCACAUGUGCUACAAUGAAUGCAUCAACGUGUAUCAGCCUCGCCCGAAAGGGUUGGGGAAUCCGCUGAACGGCAUUCUCAGUAGGGAUUGGGGAUUGCAAUUAUUUCCCAUGAACACGGAAUUCCCAGUAGGCGCCAGUCAUCAGCUGGCGUCGAUUGAGUCCCUGCCCUUUGUACACACCGCCCGUCGCUACUACCGAUCGCUCUUGUUAAUGAGCUUGUCGGAUUGGACCCGGUGAGCAGUCGUUGCGCUUCAUCUCCUCGCGGGGUGGGCCUUCGUCUGCGAGCUUUUGGUGUAUGCCGAGAAGAUCGGCAAAUUAUCUGGAGUAGAGGAAGUAAAAGUCGUAACAAGGUAUCCGUAGGUGAACCUGCGGAUGNNNNNNNNNNAUAGAYACGAUAGGUGGAUGUCCGCGAGGGUUGCUUCUCGGUAGAAAGAUACAUACAAAAAGUAAAAGAGAAGCCGCCGAGUGGCGAGUUGUUGAAAGUAGCCCAGCGAAACAACGGAACAAACCCUUCGGAAUAAGAAAGAAAAAAGACGUGCUGUACGAAAAAAGUGCAACG